AUUAAAGCAAAAGGGGGUUCAACGAAAUACUGAAACAAGGUGGGGAUAAUUUUUCCAACUCAGUGAUUAUGUUUUUUUAAUUUUUUUCUGACAUGUUGGAGUUAUAUCUUUCACUUGUGUGUCAUAAGUUGCACUGAGUAAAUACAGCUGAAUGAAAUAAAAACUGUGUCUAUCUUCAUUUUAGGCUGCAAAGCAACACAAUGUGAUUAUUUUAAAGAGGGCUGAUUCUUUUCUAUACCCACUGUAUUAGUGUAUUACUUGA
Long non-coding RNA from Etheostoma spectabile (orangethroat darter), 262 nucleotides. RefSeq lists it as uncharacterized. The record is from RefSeq and is a predicted model, not a curated record. Lineage: Eukaryota; Metazoa; Chordata; Actinopteri; Perciformes; Percidae. The transcript is spliced from 3 exons.